Non-coding RNA from Potamilus streckersoni, 73 nucleotides. NCBI's taxonomy places the organism in Eukaryota, Metazoa, Mollusca, Bivalvia, Unionida, Unionidae. The record is from the annotation of a GenBank genome assembly.
GCUCCUGUGGCCUAGUGGUUGAAGCGUCCACUUCGGAUGCGGGAGGUCGUGGGUUCAAUCCCCGGUCGAGUCA